UACCGCUACAGGAUACUUGACGUGGCAUUCAAGCUCGAGCUACAUGUGAGAUUUAACAAGAAACUUGCCUACAAAGAUGUUUAUAGAAAUAAACAACUUGAUGACACUAAAGAAAAAUUACAGACCCAGGAAAACAUAAUCGACUGGGAUUGGAUGAAAAACUCGAAAGAGCCAAAAUAAGGGAACUGCCGAUCAAAAGGCCAAUACCCUGCUACACUUGAAGAAAAUCGUAAAGGACGUAAAUAUGAGAAAACCAAUAGAGAAGAAGAUAUGAGGUUUUGUCUUAUCUCUUCAUUAAAUCGAGAACCGAUUAAAUUCGAGGAAGCUAAAAAUUCUAGAGAAGGCCACUUAUGGAAGAAAGCUAUAAAAAGAAGAAAUUGAUUCCAUGAUACAAAAUAAGGUUUGGAUUUUGGUAGAUAAAAGGAAUCUUCAAAUAUCUGGAAAACGGGCAAACAUUAUAGACUCGAAAUGGUAUUCGAGAGAAAAUUAGAGGCAAAUGGUCUUAUACGAUACAAAGUAAGAUUAGU
Long non-coding RNA from Harmonia axyridis, 527 nucleotides. RefSeq lists it as uncharacterized. The record is from RefSeq and is a predicted model, not a curated record. NCBI's taxonomy places the organism in Eukaryota, Metazoa, Arthropoda, Insecta, Coleoptera, Coccinellidae. The transcript has 2 exons.